Molecule: ribosomal RNA, 439 nt
Filed under: uncultured bacterium
Lineage: Bacteria
Description: partial 16S ribosomal RNA
Rfam family: Bacterial small subunit ribosomal RNA
Source: RNAcentral
CGACGGGGGGCUGCAGUGGGGAAUUUUGCGCAAUGGGCGAAAGCCUGACGCAGCAACGCCGCGUGCGGGAUGAAGGCCUUCGGGUCGUAAACCGCUUUCAGCAGGGAAGAAGUUGACUGUACCUGCAGAAGAAGCUCCGGCUAACUACGUGCCAGCAGCCGCGGUAAUACGUAGGGAGCGAGCGUUAUCCGGAUUUAUUGGGCGGUAAAGCGCGCGUAGGCGGCUUGCCAAGCGGGAUCUCAAAACCGAGGGCUCAACCCCCGGACGGAUCCCGAACUGGCAGGCUCGAGUUCGGUAGGGGAAGAUGGAAUUCCCAGUGUAGCGGUGAAAUGCGCAGAUAUUGGGAAGAACACCGAUGGCGAAGGCAGUCUUCUGGGCCGCAACUGACGCUGAGGUGCGAAAGCUAGGGGAGCGAACAGGAUUAGAUACCCCGGUAGUC